RNAcentral lists this long non-coding RNA (372 nucleotides) under Mytilus galloprovincialis (Mediterranean mussel). The record is from RNAcentral. Lineage: Eukaryota; Metazoa; Mollusca; Bivalvia; Mytilida; Mytilidae.
AGUUUGUCUGUAUUAAGCCCUGUUAGGGUUUUUGAAUAAAGUUAAUAAAACUAAGUUGUAAAGAGUAUAAUACCUUUUUGUAUUUUAUUUAAUUUAGUAACCAGCAACCAACAUUAAAGAACCAUAUAAAGGGAUCACUGUUCAUCCUGUUUUUAACACAUAUCUCUUUCAACUUAAUAUCUUGGAUAUUUGGUAUAUUUAAAGCUUUAUAAUGGUGAAGUAUCGAUACAAAUUAUUUUGUUCAAACUAAACUGUCAUUAAAAGAGUAAGACAGUACAUCAAGUUAGCAGCAACACAUACACUUUUGUUCAGUUGGUUAAUAAAUGUAUUAAGAAAUGGGUGUUUUUAUAAUGGCCCUGUUAUAUGUCCUCG